CCGACGGUGAGAGGUGAAAGCUGGGGGAGCAAACCGGAUUAGAUACCCGGGUAGUCCCAGCCGUAAACGAUGUGCGUUAGGUGUAUCGGUGACCACGAGUCACCGAGGUGCCGAAGAGAAAUCGUGAAACGUACCGCCUGGGAAGUACGGUCGCAAGGCUGAAACUUAAAGGAAUUGGCGGGGGAGCACCACAACAGGUGGAGCCUGCGGUUUAAUCGGACUCAACGCCGGGAAACUCACCAGAUAAGACAGCUGAAUGAUAGUCGGGCUGAAGACUCUACUUGACUAGCUGAGAGGAGGUGCAUGGCCGUCGUCAGUUCGUACUGUGAAGCAUCCUGUUAAGUCAGGCAACGAGCGAGACCCACGCAACAGUUGCUA
Molecule: ribosomal RNA, 378 nt
Filed under: uncultured archaeon
Lineage: Archaea
Description: bacterial SSU rRNA
Rfam family: Archaeal small subunit ribosomal RNA
Source: RNAcentral